Molecule: ribosomal RNA, 254 nt
Filed under: uncultured bacterium
Lineage: Bacteria
Description: partial 16S ribosomal RNA
Rfam family: Bacterial small subunit ribosomal RNA
Source: RNAcentral
UACGGAGGGAGCAAGCGUUGUUCGGAAUUACUGGGCGUAAAGGGCGCGUAGGCGGCCUGGUAAGUCGCGUGUGAAAGGCCGGGGCUCAACCCCGAGCACUGCACGCGAUACUGCCUGGCUAGAGAGAGGUAGGGGCGAGCGGAAUUCCCGGUGUAGCGGUGGAAUGCGUAGAUAUCGGGAAGAACACCUGUGGCGAAGGCGGCUCGCUGGACCUCUUCUGACGCUGAAGCGCGAAAGCGUGGGGAGCAAACAGG